RNAcentral lists this unclassified non-coding RNA (245 nucleotides) under Frankliniella occidentalis (western flower thrips). Its description in RNAcentral is "partial contains large subunit ribosomal RNA (rrnL); may also contain tRNA-Leu (trnL)". The stretch from base 1 to 125 matches the Rfam family "Bacterial large subunit ribosomal RNA", at positions 2520 to 2645 of the family's 2925-position model. The record is from RNAcentral. Lineage: Eukaryota; Metazoa; Arthropoda; Insecta; Thysanoptera; Thripidae.
GCUACCUCGAUGUUGAAUUAAGAAAAGAUCUAAUAGAAGAAAAUUAGAUUAUAGGUCUGUUCGACCUUUAAAUUCUUACAUGAUUUGAGUUAAGACCGGUGUAAGCCAGGUUGGUUUCUAUCUUCAUAAUAAAAGUUUUUAUAGUACGAAAGGACCUAAAAACUUAAUUUUAUUAAUUAAUUAGCUUAUAUAAAGCAAGUAUUUUGAAAAUACUAGAAAGAUUAAAAAAUUUAUUAAUUUUAUGU